CGCAGAUGAGGAUAGAUUCAAUCUGACAAGAUGAAUCAGGCAGUUCUGUUUGCGUUUUUUUCUUUGGAAUUUGUAUGGAUUUGUUCAGUCAAAUGGGAGCAGUGAGGGCAGACUCUCGCUAUACCUCAAUAAUGAGGAACAUUAUGCACUUGAAGCAAAGGUCAUCUGCUGGCAUUUCCGCAGAAUCUUCAGGUUGAUGGGAGGAAACACUUUUCACCAGACGUAAACGCAGAUACCAUCGUUUGUGCUGGUGACCCAUGUAAGAACGGAGCCACUUAUAUUGACGGCAUUAACAUUUUCACCUGUGCAUGUAAAAACAGCUGGGAAGGACAAACCUGUGAAAUUACGACCCAUGUAAGAACGGGGCUACAUGUACUGACGGCAUUAACAGCUACAACUGUUCAUGUGUUAACGGCUGGGAGGUUACAACCUGUGAAAUUAAUAUGGACGAUUGUGUUGGUGACCCAUGUGAGAACGGAGCCCUAUGUACUGACGGCAUUAACAGCUUUACUUGUGAAUGUUUAAACGGAUUUGAAGACCAACCGAUGAACUUUAUAUGGACGAUUCUGCAAGCAGCCCAUGUGCGAACAGAGCCACCUGUAAUAAUAGGUUUGACUUUCGAUGACGCUCGUCCUCGAUUUCGGAAUAACGAGCCUUAGAGUUUCAUAUAAUUUCACAUGUGGGGACAACAGUUUGAAAGUGGAUGCCAACUAUACUUACCUGGUCUUACUGCUGAAUGAAUGUUGCACAGAGUGCUGGCAGGUCUCUCGGUCUUCUGAUAGCAAAGUUUAGAGCAUAUAGGAGUAUGUCUUACAGUGUAUUCACUAAACGUUAUGACAGCACAGUGUGGCCUGUAAUAGCAUAUGGCGCAGCUAUAUGGGGGAGUAGAUCAUAUUCUUGUAUUAACGCUGUUCAGAGUCGAGCCAUGAGGUUUUUCGUGGGUACGGGUAAAUAAACGCCCAAAAAUGCUUGGCAGCCCCCACAGGUGAAACAGUGGAGAUCUGUGUCACAACAAUAGCAUAAGCUUAAUCAAAUGGUAACAAAUAGAGUUAAUUAUAAAAAAUUUAAAUUCUGUUGUAAUACGAGUAGUGAUAGAUGUAAAAAUUGGCAGUUUCAAUAUAAGAACCAUCUGUCAUAUAUUACUUCACUUCUGUUGGAUAAAUAUGAAAAUAUGUCCUCAAAACUUCUUUGUGGAAAAAUUGUACAUUUUACUAUGAAUAUGUUCAAUGAGGAAUGGAGAGCCAGUAUAAAUAUUGUAAUAGGCCCAUCCGGUCAAGGAAAAAAUAAACUUAGAACAUAUCUAUAUAUAUAUAUAGGUUAUUUAAGGUUGAAUAUAAAACUGAAAACUAUGUUAAAUGCUCCAGUUUAGCUAGAAAGCACUAGUCAGCAAUGGCAAAGUUCAGGUGUGGAGUUGCUCCACGGGAAACGGGAAGAUACGAAAACAUCCCUGAAAAUCUACGUUUAUGUCCUAUAUGUAAACUUGCCAUAGAAAAUGAAAUUCAUGUACCUUUUCACUGUCCUUCUAACCAGAGUUUCAGAAAUGAUAUUGUUAGAAAAGCCAUUAAGCUUGUUGCAUCAUUUAGUAAUAUGUGUGAUCAUGACAAAUUGAACUUUGUUCUCUCCAACGAAAAUAUAUUAAAAACAAGUGCCAAAAAUUAUUACUUGAUUCUAAAAGCCAAAACUGAUCUUUUGUACAGGUAGUGUGUGUAUAUAUAUAUAUGAAUACAAACUACCACAUGACAACAUGAUUUGCUAUCUGCUGUUGGUAUUUUAAAUUAAAAGUUUAAUUUAGCUGACAGCAAAUAUCAAAACAUUUUGAAUGUGGUAUUUAGCUAUUUCAAUUCAUAGAUAAUUUUAGAAUCUAUGUAGAUAAUAUCUCACCUUUUUAAAAAAAAUAGCAUAUGUAACUUUUUUAGUUAUACGUAAAAUGGCUUUGCUAAUCCGACCAUAAAUGAUCUGAUCAUAUGUGGAUUUCGUAUCUUACUUCCAUUUCUUAUUUGUGCAUUAGUACUAAUUUACACUAUCAGAAUUUUGUUUUCAUUGUCCUAAAGCAGUUUUUAAAAGGGGAUUAGCACAGGUAUUUUGCUCAUAUCUGUAAAAAGAUGUAUUGAUAUGUGUCUUAAUUGUAUUAUAAAAUUGAUAGUCUCUUAUAACUCUUACUAGAGUGGCAAUCCACUUGUAUGUACUGUUUGUUGAAUGUAAUUUUAUUCAUGAAUGUACAAUGCAUUGAUGAGACUGAAAUAAAUAAAUAA
Mya arenaria is the source of this 2252-nucleotide long non-coding RNA. RefSeq lists it as uncharacterized. NCBI's taxonomy places the organism in Eukaryota, Metazoa, Mollusca, Bivalvia, Myida, Myidae. The record is from RefSeq and is a predicted model, not a curated record. The transcript is spliced from 7 exons.